CCUCCCUCUGGCGGCAUGCCUAACCCAUGCAAGUCGAACGAGACCUUCGGGUCUAGUGGCGCACGGGUGCGUAACGCGUGGGAACCUGCCCUUAGGUUCUGAAUAACUCCCCGAAAGGGGUGCUAAUACCGGAUAAUGUCUUCGGACCAAAGAUUUAUCGCCUUUGGAUGGGCCCUCGUUGGAUUAGCUAUUUGGUAGGGUAAAAGCCUACCAAGGCGACGAUCCAUAGCUGGUCUGAGAGGAUGAUCAGCCACACUGGGACUGAGACACGGCCCAGACUCCUACGGGAGGCAGCAGUGGGGAAUAUUGGACAAUGGGCGAAAGCCUGAGACAGCAAUGCCGCGUGAGUGAUGAAGGCCUUAGGGUUGUAAAGCUCUUUUACCCGGGAUGAUAAUGACAGUACCGGGAGAAUAAGCUCCGGCUAACUCCGUG
RNAcentral lists this ribosomal RNA (432 nucleotides) under uncultured bacterium. Its description in RNAcentral is "partial 16S ribosomal RNA". It matches the Rfam family "Bacterial small subunit ribosomal RNA", at positions 36 to 507 of the family's 1533-position model. The record is from RNAcentral.